RNAcentral lists this ribosomal RNA (400 nucleotides) under Phomopsis sp. 2 JM-2013. Its description in RNAcentral is "eukaryotic LSU rRNA". The stretch from base 79 to 232 matches the Rfam family "5.8S ribosomal RNA". The record is from RNAcentral. Lineage: Eukaryota; Fungi; Ascomycota; Sordariomycetes; Diaporthales; Diaporthaceae.
AGGAGGAGCAGCCCGCCGGCGGCCAACUAAACUCUUGUUUCUUAGUGAAUCUCUGAGUAAAAAACAUAAAUGAAUCAAAACUUUCAACAACGGAUCUCUUGGUUCUGGCAUCGAUGAAGAACGCAGCGAAAUGCGAUAAGUAAUGUGAAUUGCAGAAUUCAGUGAAUCAUCGAAUCUUUGAACGCACAUUGCGCCCUCUGGUAUUCCGGAGGGCAUGCCUGUUCGAGCGUCAUUUCAACCCUCAAGCACUGCUUGGUGUUGGGGCACCGCCUGUGAAAGGGCGGGCCCUGAAAACUAGUGGCGAGCUCGCCAGGACCCCGAGCGUAGUAGUUUAUAUCUCGUUCUGGAAGKCCCUGGCGGUGCACUGCCGUUAAACCCCCAACUUCUGAAAUUUUGACCU